CUGAAAACAAAGAGAAAGAAGAGUAACUUAAUUCUUAAUUAACAGCGAGUCUUGUUAGGUGGAAGAAGACAAAUUCAAGAUUAAGUGAAAAUCACUUUCGAGUUCUAUUUCUUAAUCUUUUAGUAAGAAAUAGUGGGAGCGCCCAUUAUAGUGCCAGCGUAUCGCCAAUUGGCCGUACGUGAAAGGUAUUGCUAGUAAUAGCAAUAUAAAUAAAGGGUGGUACCACGCUCAAGCGUCCCUCAA
Molecule: non-coding RNA, 243 nt
Filed under: Lactobacillus sp.
Lineage: Bacteria; Bacillati; Bacillota; Bacilli; Lactobacillales; Lactobacillaceae
Description: T-box sequence
Rfam family: T-box leader
About the family: Uncharged tRNA acts as the effector for transcription antitermination of genes in the T-box leader family. T-boxes are found upstream of many aminoacyl-tRNA synthetase genes and some amino acid biosynthetic genes usually in Gram-positive bacteria. The anticodon of a specific tRNA base pairs to a specifier sequence within the T-box motif, and the NCCA acceptor tail of the tRNA base pairs to a conserved bulge in the T-box antiterminator hairpin.
Source: RNAcentral